Molecule: non-coding RNA, 262 nt
Organism: Nicotiana tabacum (common tobacco)
Lineage: Eukaryota; Viridiplantae; Streptophyta; Magnoliopsida; Solanales; Solanaceae
Source: RefSeq, a predicted model, not a curated record
GUGCAGCAUUGAUAACUCGGAGGAGGUUGGUUUCGCCAGUGUCCACAUGGACUGUGGUGGUAUCUGCAUUAACAUGAUUUCUAUAGAUCACCUGGUUGACCAUUGAUGGUGUAUGCAUCAGAUACAUUUGGAGCUGCUCCUGUUCUUGUUGCUCGUCUUACAACGUCAAUAGGAAAUGAUCAAAGCUUUUGGUAUUGAAGAGAAGGUAGAAGUAGUACCAAGCAUAAUUGGUGUUUCUCUUUUGGGCUUAACAAAUGGAUAG